CGUAGACGUCAAAACUCGGGAAAAGAAAAGAAAGAAAGAAACCAGAAUAAGCCCAUUUUAAUUUGGGCCUAUUUUCUACAAAGUUAAGGCUUUAAAAUAUGAUACGGGCCGGGGUAACACAGCAAACUUGAGCCCUUAACAAUUACACCAAAGAAGAAAAAAACCCUUUAGUUUCUCUGACAAUUCUGAGUCUUCCUUUGCCCGUACGUUGACGAGAAGCCGAUUUCCGACUUGCAAAGAUGCCUCUGGGAAUCUGUAGUAAGUUUGAAUUUUCCAAAAUAACACCCUGGUCAGUAUUAUCGGUGGAUCUCCAUCCAGAAGAACCAUGUGGGAUAUCUCUUUAUUUCGCUGGUUGGAGUAUAUAGGUACAUGUUGAGCGUGUGGAUGUAGGAGAUGAGACACAGACUUACCAUCAACUCCUCAAUCAUAACAACCACUUUUGAUUCUCAUAUUAUAUUAAUUUGAUAUCGAUAGAAUCGUCUUGAGAGUGACUGAAAGACGGGAAUGCAUUAAAUAAUAAUAAAUUAAUUACACUAUAAAAAA
Long non-coding RNA from Arabidopsis lyrata subsp. lyrata, 543 nucleotides. RefSeq lists it as uncharacterized. Lineage: Eukaryota; Viridiplantae; Streptophyta; Magnoliopsida; Brassicales; Brassicaceae. The transcript is spliced from 4 exons. The record is from RefSeq and is a predicted model, not a curated record.